GUGGCGGUGGACGAGAGCGAGGAGAGCAUGCACGCGCUGUCGUGGUGCCUCUCCAACGUGGUCUCCGCCGCCGCCAAGUCCCCCGCGGCCGCGCCGCCGCCGGCCGUGGUCCUGGUCCACGCCCGGCCGGCGCGGCCGCUCUACUACCCGGUGAUCGACGGCGGCGGCUACGUGCUGACCCAGGAGGUGAUGGACAGCAUGGACCGCUACAUGGCCACCGCCG
Molecule: unclassified non-coding RNA, 223 nt
Filed under: Hevea brasiliensis (rubber tree)
Lineage: Eukaryota; Viridiplantae; Streptophyta; Magnoliopsida; Malpighiales; Euphorbiaceae
Source: RNAcentral